GCCUAUACUGCAAGUCGAACGCACUCUCGUUUAGAUUGAAGGAGUUUGCUCCUGAUUGAUAAACAUUUGAGUGAGUGGCGGACGGGUGAGUAACACGUGGGUAACCUGCCCUAAAGUGGGGGAUAACAUUUGGAAACAGAUGCUAAUACCGCAUAAAACCUAACACCGCAUGGUGUAGGGUUGAAAGAUGGUUUCGGCUAUCACUUUAGGAUGGACCCGCGGUGCAUUAGUUAGUUGGUGAGGUAAAGGCUCACCAAGACCGUGAUGCAUAGCCGACCUGAGAGGGUAAUCGGCCACACUGGGACUGAGACACGGCCCAGACUCCUACGGGAGGCAGCAGUAGGGAAUCUUCCACAAUGGACGAAAGUCUGAUGGAGCAACGCCGCGUGAGUGAAGAAGGUUUUCGGAUCGUAAAACUCUGUUGUUGGAGAAGAAUGUAUCUGAUAGUAACUGAUCAGGUAGUGACGGUAUCCAACCAGAAAGCCACGGCUAACUACGUGCCAGCAGCCGCGGUAAUACGUAGGUGGCAAGCGUUGUCCGGAUUUAUUGGGCGUAAAGCGAGCGCAGGCGGUUUCUUAAGUCUGAUGUGAAAGCCUUCGGCUCAACCGAAGAAGUGCAUCGGAAACUGGGAAACUUGAGUGCAGAAGAGGACAGUGGAACUCCAUGUGUAGCGGUGAAAUGCGUAGAUAUAUGGAAGAACACCAGUGGCGAAGGCGGCUGUCUGGUCUGUAACUGACGCUGAGGCUCGAAAGCAUGGGUAGCAAACAGGAUUAGAUACCCUGGUAGUCCAUGCCGUAAACGAUGAGUGCUAGGUGUUGGAGGGUUUCCGCCCUUCAGUGCCGCAGCUAACGCAUUAAGCACUCCGCCUGGGAGUACGACCGCAAGGUUGAAACUCAAAGGAAUUGACGGGGGCCGCACAGCGGUGGAGCAUG
RNAcentral lists this ribosomal RNA (932 nucleotides) under uncultured bacterium. Its description in RNAcentral is "bacterial SSU rRNA". It matches the Rfam family "Bacterial small subunit ribosomal RNA", at positions 46 to 941 of the family's 1533-position model. The record is from RNAcentral.